UUUCCACCUUCUUCCUUUGAUCCAAGCCACAUUUCAACUUUAAACCUUAUUUCCUUCACUAAAAUCAACUUGAAAUCCUUUCUUAAGCUUGUUUCCAUCUUCAUCCUCCCAUCAAGGCUUAGGGUUUUACUUAAGUUAGUGAGAGGAAAUUCAAGUAAAGAGAAAAGGCUUGGAAAAGGAACUCCAAGUAAAGGAAAGGAAGAAGUGGUUGAGUAGAAAAAAGAACUAUCUCCUAUUUUUGGUGAUUUUGAAGGUAAGUUCUCAUGAAAAUUCUCUUACUUAAUAAUGAAAAAUCACUAAUGAGUUAAUUAAUGUAAUAAAUGAUGAAGAGAAAGUGUGCAAUAAGUUUUCUAUUAUUAUAAUAUAUAUAUAUGUAUAUGAAUUGAGAUAAAUAAGUAGAGGUGAUAAUUUGUUCACCAAAAUGGUAGAACCUUAUUAAAUGAGGAAAAUGGAGAAAUAAUGGUGAUAACUGAAAUAACGACUUGUAUAUGACUUAUGUGAAAGAAAGUUGAAGUUAUGAUCACGCUAUUGUGUCUAAAUUACUAUAAUUGUGAAAGGUUGAUCUGCCGUAAUUCAGUGUAGCCAAUCAAACUAAUUUCCACACUUUAAGAGCUUGAAAGCCAGUAUUUUCAUUAGGUAUUAAUUAUAUUUUUGUAAGUUUUUGUUAAGUUAAUAAAAUGUGCAAAUUGAGUCUUUUAUUGACGUUAAAGGUCGAAUGAGGCCUAAGGGUGAUCUAAUGAACUUUGUAAGUGUACAGGAGACCAUUAGAAAGCGUAAUAAAUCGAUUUUGGUUGCUAUGUCGCAACACAGAAUGUUUGAUGUCACAACAUAAUAAGCAUAAUGGAGAAAUCACGAAACUACCUUUUGUGUCAUGACGUACCCUGAAGAUUUCCCAAGAGGAGUACAUUGACUGCUAUGUCACGACACAAGACCUAGUGUGUCGAGACAUUGACUCUAGACGGGAAUUAAACACGAGACAGGGGAGUUUUGGUCCGCACAAUCAAACUUAAAGCUUAGGAACAUCAGCUGACCUAGGGUUAAGGACGACGAGCACCUAAAAUCUAUAAAUAGGCUCAUUUGUCACAUGUUAAAGACACAAUUCACUUAGCCUAGAUUUAGUCUUUUAAUUUCAGAUUACUUUUCUCUUUUCUUAGGUUAGAUUUAUUUUCAUUCUUUCUUGUUCUAUUUUGAGAGAUCUGUAUUGUGGAGACAAUCAAACCUUGUGGAUCCGCGAUCAAUCUUAAUACAACUCUAUGUUAUCGAUUUAUUUGGCA
Molecule: long non-coding RNA, 1274 nt
Organism: Gossypium raimondii (Peruvian cotton)
Lineage: Eukaryota; Viridiplantae; Streptophyta; Magnoliopsida; Malvales; Malvaceae
Exons: 2
Source: RefSeq, a predicted model, not a curated record